AACACGGAUCCAUGAUGCGUCCGAUGCAACAUGGAGGUCACAGAAUUGGAGCCCAUCUGCCAUAGCAGUAUUUACCAAUGUUUGAGAGAUGAAUACUCAUUCACAGAGGUCGCUAUCAAAUCGGGUCCAAGAUGUCGCCCUAUCACAUUAAGUUUUGGAGCUCAAGAGCGACAUCAGCAACAGUGAGAGAAGAGAUGGGGAGAUGACAUCAACAAAUUGCAGUUUGUGUCAUUUAUGUUAAAACCUUAAGCAUAGGCUAUAUCUUUAUCUGCAAUUAUCUUCUUAGUAAGAUGUGUAGUGAAUGUUAUGUAUUUACAUGAAACUUUGUUUUAAGUAUUGUUUGUAUCCUUACUCAUAUACUUUCAUAAAUAUAAUUAUUUAUUUCAUGUAAA
Long non-coding RNA from Schistocerca serialis cubense, 392 nucleotides. RefSeq lists it as uncharacterized. The transcript has 2 exons. The record is from RefSeq and is a predicted model, not a curated record. Lineage: Eukaryota; Metazoa; Arthropoda; Insecta; Orthoptera; Acrididae.